CAGCAAAAGGAGGCUGAAAGCCUCUUUUUUUUCCUCUAAGGCAGAGGAGCCAGCACAGCAUGAUUCGACUUGCGACGGGCAGGAAAGCUGAUCCUGCUGAAUAUUUGCUCGGGGCCUUGACGCACACACAGCUGAAUUUGAUGUUUUCACAUUACAACAGGCAUUGGGACCAGCUAAAGGAGGGGUUGGCUUCUUCCUGGUCGCUUUUCGUGGGCCAGCUCUUACCCUCGCGCUUCGAGGAGGCCGGGGGCUGGCCAGCGUUCACUCGUGGUGGGUGCAGGUCACAGAGACACGAGCUGCGGGCAGCUGGGGGCCACGCAGAUAACGGGAGGCCAAAAAUUACACGCUGAGACGGAAAAGGCAGGGGAGGUGGAAAGCCUUGGAACAGAAGCCCAGCUCUUCCACCUGCCAGCUGCAGGAAGCGCCAGACAGCAGCGCUGCUUUCAUUUAAACGCAGCCAGCUGGAGCCAGACAGAGCGGGGCAACCACACCAAGAGGAAGCUGAAAGGAUUCGGAGUCUUCCAGACCGCUCCACAACCCUGGCACCGUGCCCUGCUGUGCCAAGGUAUCGCGGUGGACUUGGGUCAGCAGCAACCUUCCUCAGCGCUGCGGCUUGUGCUGGGGGGAGGAAUUCAAAGUGAGGGUGAAAAUGUUUCUCUGGUACCUAGGAGCCACCAGGGUGAGGGACCUGCCACCGGUCUUCGCCUCAGCUCCAGCGCUGCUCGCUUACCUCCACGCCUCCUGAACUAUUUUUUGUCUUCCGCGUUGGAAUUUUUACUUUGGAGCAAACACAGGAAAGGAUAAUUUGGUAGAUUUUUAUUGUAAAAAAAAA
Non-coding RNA from Anas platyrhynchos (mallard), 832 nucleotides. The record is from RefSeq and is a predicted model, not a curated record. NCBI's taxonomy places the organism in Eukaryota, Metazoa, Chordata, Aves, Anseriformes, Anatidae.